This 495-nucleotide ribosomal RNA is filed under the name uncultured bacterium. Its description in RNAcentral is "partial 16S ribosomal RNA". It matches the Rfam family "Bacterial small subunit ribosomal RNA", at positions 28 to 507 of the family's 1533-position model. The record is from RNAcentral.
GACGAACGCUGGCGGCGUGCCUAAUACAUGCAAGUAGAACGCUGAAGGAGGAGCUUGCUUCUCUGGAUGAGUUGCGAACGGGUGAGUAACGCGUAGGUAACCUGCCUGGUAGCGGGGGAUAACUAUUGGAAACGAUAGCUAAUACCGCAUAAGAGUAGAUGUCGCAUGACAUUUGCUUAAAAGGUGCAAUUGCAUCACUACCAGAUGGACCUGCGUUGUAUUAGCUAGUUGGUGAGGUAACGGCUCACCAAGGCAACGAUACAUAGCCGACCUGAGAGGGGGGACGGCCACAAUGGGACAGAGGCACGGCCCAGACUCCUACGGGAAGCAGCAGUAAGGGAUCUUCGGCAAAUGACGGAAGUCUGAACGAACAAAGGCACGUGAAUGAAGAAGGUUUUCGGGACGUAAAAAUCUGUUGUAAGAGAAAAACCAGAGGGGGAAUGAAAAAUGCACACUGUGACGGUAUCUAACCAGAAAGGGACGGCUAACUACGUG